RNAcentral lists this ribosomal RNA (274 nucleotides) under uncultured bacterium. RNAcentral's name for it is "partial 16S ribosomal RNA". It matches the Rfam family "Bacterial small subunit ribosomal RNA", at positions 523 to 796 of the family's 1533-position model. The record is from RNAcentral.
CUACGGAGGGUGCAAGCGUUAUUCGGAAUCACUGGGCGUAAAGGACGCGUAGGCGGGUUGGCAAGUCAGAUGUGAAAUCCUACAGCUUAACUGUAGAACUGCAUUUGAAACUGCUAACCUAGAGUAUGGGAGGGGGAGAUGGAAUUAGUGGUGUAGGGGUAAAAUCCGUAGAUAUCACUAGGAAUACCGAAAGCGAAGGCGAUCUCCUGGAACAUAACUGACGCUAAGGCGUGAAAGCGCGGGGAGCAAACAGGAUUAGAUACCCUUGUAGUCC